GAGUUUGAUCUUGGCUCAGAUUGAACGCUGGCGGCAGGCCUAACACAUGCAAGUCGAGCGGAUGACGGGAGCUUGCUCCUUGAUUCAGCGGCGGACGGGUGAGUAAUGCCUAGGAAUCUGCCUGGUAGUGGGGGACAACGUUUCGAAAGGAACGCUAAUACCGCAUACGUCCUACGGGAGAAAGCAGGGGACCUUCGGGCCUUGCGCUAUCAGAUGAGCCUAGGUCGGAUUAGCUAGUUGGUGGGGUAAUGGCUCACCAAGGCGACGAUCCGUAACUGGUCUGAGAGGAUGAUCAGUCACACUGGAACUGAGACACGGUCCAGACUCCUACGGGAGGCAGCAGUGGGGAAUAUUGGACAAUGGGCGAAAGCCUGAUCCAGCCAUGCCGCGUGUGUGAAGAAGGUCUUCGGAUUGUAAAGCACUUUAAGUUGGGAGGAAGGGCAGUAAGUUAAUACCUUGCUGUUUUGACGUUACCGACAGAAUAAGCACCGGCUAACUACGUGCCAGCAGCCG
RNAcentral lists this ribosomal RNA (513 nucleotides) under bacterium enrichment culture clone ALO1_GLFRUDD03G08GN. RNAcentral describes it as "bacterial SSU rRNA". It matches the Rfam family "Bacterial small subunit ribosomal RNA", at positions 9 to 517 of the family's 1533-position model. The record is from RNAcentral.